GUGACGGGCGGUGUGUACGUAUUCUAGAGCUUAUUUCAUUUGUUUUUUCUUUAAAAAAUUACUAUUGAAUCCUUUUUCAUUUAUUUUUCAUUGAAAAAUCCUCGAUUAUAAAGUAAGGUAGCUCAUUGAUCCCCAGUUUAUUGGCUGCAUCUUGAUCUGGCGUUUGGAAAUUUUUCUUUUUGCUGACUUUCUUAUAAGGUUAGCUGGCGACGAAAAUAUACAGGCUGGAUUUUUCUAAAACUGGUGGGGUUCCUCGUGGGGUAUCGAUUGGAUAACAAGCUCCUCCAAAUAGUUUUAGAAAACCGCCAAGUUCUUUGAGUUUCAUAUUAGUGUUAUACUACUCUGGUGUUUUAGGUUGUUUGGUAAGUUAUAGUGGGGUAUCUAAUCCCAGA
This 392-nucleotide ribosomal RNA is filed under the name Heterothyone alba. RNAcentral describes it as "partial 12S ribosomal RNA". Lineage: Eukaryota; Metazoa; Echinodermata; Holothuroidea; Dendrochirotida; Heterothyonidae. The record is from RNAcentral.